CUAUGCGCCUUGCCAGCCCGCUCAGGUGUGCCAGCCGCCGCGGUAAUACGGAGGAUGCGAGCGUUAUCCGGAUUUAUUGGGUUUAAAGGGUGCGUAGGCGGAUUUUAAGUCAGCGGUAAAAUGUCCGGGCUCAACCCGGGCGGCCGUUGAAACUGGGGAUCUUGAGUGGGCGAGAAGUAUGCGGAAUGCGUGGUGUAGCGGUGAAAUGCAUAGAUAUCACGCAGAACUCCGAUUGCGAAGGCAGCAUACCGGCGCCCGACUGACGCUGAGGCACGAAAGCGUGGGGAUCGAACAGG
RNAcentral lists this ribosomal RNA (296 nucleotides) under uncultured bacterium. RNAcentral's name for it is "partial 16S ribosomal RNA". It matches the Rfam family "Bacterial small subunit ribosomal RNA", at positions 475 to 776 of the family's 1533-position model. The record is from RNAcentral.